GCCGCUGUGGUGAAAUUGGUAAACACAGAGCUUUCAAAAAGCUCCGACUUUAAGUCUUAUCGGUUCAAAUCCGAUCAGCGGCA
Molecule: transfer RNA, 83 nt
Filed under: Chlorella sp. ArM0029B
Lineage: Eukaryota; Viridiplantae; Chlorophyta; Trebouxiophyceae; Chlorellales; Chlorellaceae
Description: tRNA-Leu
Rfam family: tRNA
About the family: Transfer RNA (tRNA) molecules are approximately 80 nucleotides in length. Their secondary structure includes four short double-helical elements and three loops (D, anti-codon, and T loops).
Source: RNAcentral